Molecule: long non-coding RNA, 1325 nt
Organism: Cyprinus carpio carpio
Lineage: Eukaryota; Metazoa; Chordata; Actinopteri; Cypriniformes; Cyprinidae
Source: Ensembl
CUGUGUUGCCUAACAAUUAGUCUCCUAACAUUGUGUAGUUAAAAUAACAGCCUACCUUUUUUCUUAAUUUUGCACACUCACUGUACUUUCUUUCUCUUCAGCGGAGAUAACAAGAAUGAUUCUGCACUUUCAGAAGUCCUCUGAGGCGAGAGGUACAGGGACAGUGGAAGGGGUUGAGCGAAGCCCCCAUUGCCGGUCCAGCCACAUUCCUCAGGGGCGAGCUGUUCAAUAUCAUUUCUGCUCCCUUUGACAGAAGCUCUGGCAACCACAAAGGAGUCACUGUGCCGAUCUAUCCACACCCCAGCUCUCCCAACCUUCCUUUCUGAAAUGCUUAAUUACCCCGACGCCACUUCCAAUCUGCAGCCCACCUGUAGCAUUCUGCCAAAGGGCCUUUAAACAGGUUCACAGCCCUCUUAACAGCCAUCUUGUUUUGGAAGGAAGAAGAAAUGGAAGAGAUGCUUUGGAAGUAAAAGUUGUCAACGACAAGCCUGACAUCACACAGAUGAUACUUCAAAGGCCAGCACUUUUUACAGUAAACCAGGUACAUAUACACUGAAGAUACUACCAAGUAUCUUCACCAAGCUGUUACUCUGAGGCAGGAGUCCCAAGCACCAUGUGGCCCUCACACAUGCACUCAGAAGAGGCCUCGCUCCCCCACGGAGAGAUCCACAUCCAGGACGAGUGCUAAGGGGGGUUAAAAAGGCCUGCUGCAUCUGUCUUUUUUAAUAACACUAUGUCCAGGAAGUUCAGGCUGGAUGAGGACUAAGUGUAAUGAGAUGUCCAUCACGACAACAUGUGUGACAAGUGGAAUGGAAAUGCAAUUAGCCCUCCCCCCACCACCAGACAUGGCUAGGCCUGUUAUGUGUUAAUAAUGUGAUGUAAUGGCCAUAAGGAUAAAACAGUUCCUGUUCGUGACAUCAGGGGAUCUCAUCUUUAUCCUCCCAGAACAUCUGAAUGAACGUGUAAGUGAGCAAGUGCUUUAGGGGAAUGAGUGAGUCAGUGAGAAAGCAGUGAACGUGAGUCCGUUGCUCUUUUCCAAAUCGUAGUUGGCUGCCUGCAGAGGCUGCAUUUGAUGGAGUGUUGUUCCUUAAAUGAAGGCUUUUUCAAAAUCUACACGUAUUUAUUACACUGACUUAUGAGAUACCAGAUUUUAGCCAGAUUCUAAGGCGUUAGUGCAUAUUUCUUUGUAGGCAAGGCAAUCCCAAAAUGUAUUGGCAUGAGCUCCUUUGUGGGGAAAAAAUGCACUUAUUGGUAUUGAAGUGUACUUCAAAUGUUAAAAGUAUAUAUGUGUGUAUAUGUAUGUAUAUGUAUGUGUGUGUGUGUGU